RNAcentral lists this ribosomal RNA (253 nucleotides) under uncultured bacterium. RNAcentral describes it as "partial 16S ribosomal RNA". It matches the Rfam family "Bacterial small subunit ribosomal RNA", at positions 524 to 776 of the family's 1533-position model. The record is from RNAcentral.
UACGUAGGGUGCAAGCGUUAAUCGGAAUUACUAGGCGUAAAGCGUGCGCAGGCGGCUUUGCAAGACAGAUGUGAAAUCCCCGGGCUUAACCUGGGAACUGCAUUUGUGACUGCAUGGCUGGAGUGCGGCAGAGGGGGAUGGAAUUCCGCGUGUAGCAGUGAAAUGCGUAGAUAUGCGGAGGAACACCGAUGGCGAAGGCAAUCCCCUGGGCCUGCACUGACGCUCAUGCACGAAAGCGUGGGGAGCAAACAGG